GGGGCCGAUCGGUUUCGACGGUGACCUGUUCGUCGCAGGGAAGCGUGCCGAGAAUGCGGGGUCCGCUCGUGGAUGUCCCCCGCGAAACAAUAAGUGCUAAAUCUAACCGCACUGAGUUCGCUCUCGCUGCCUGAGCUUCGCGCCAGAUCUAAACCAGCGAGCAGCCGCUCCGUCCACUCUCCCGUGUCUCCGGGGAGAAGCUGGGCGUCGUUGAGGAGACUCGCCUCAUACGCCGCACCGCAGGGCGCGUGAGGGACUUGUUCUGCGGAUAUGCCUGCCACCGGUUGUCCGCGACAUAGGUGGAGGCAGAACACUAGCCAUCUUGGCCAGCGGACUACGCACGUAGAAGACUGAGGGUACGGUCAUCGGACCGGGGUUCGAUUCCCCGCGGCUCCACUC
RNAcentral lists this transfer-messenger RNA (399 nucleotides) under Bifidobacterium phasiani. RNAcentral's name for it is "Standard tmRNA". It matches the Rfam family "transfer-messenger RNA". From Rfam's summary of the family: Bacterial tmRNA, also known as 10Sa RNA or SsrA, is named for its dual tRNA and mRNA-like properties. Its role is to liberate the mRNA from a stalled ribosome. Lineage: Bacteria; Bacillati; Actinomycetota; Actinomycetes; Bifidobacteriales; Bifidobacteriaceae. The record is from RNAcentral.